RNAcentral lists this ribosomal RNA (405 nucleotides) under uncultured bacterium. Its description in RNAcentral is "partial 16S ribosomal RNA". It matches the Rfam family "Bacterial small subunit ribosomal RNA", at positions 28 to 526 of the family's 1533-position model. The record is from RNAcentral.
GAUGAACGCUGGCGGCGUGCUUAAUACAUGCAAGUCGAGCGAAGCGGGGACGGGUGAGUAAAACGUGGAUAACCUCCUAUAAGACUGGGAUAACUUCGGGAAACCGGAGCUAAACCGGAUACUUAACGAUGGAUCUGCGCUGCAUUAGCUAGUUGGUAAGGUAACGGCUUACCAAGGACACGAUGCAUAGCCGACCUGAGAGGGUGAUCGGCCACACUGGGACUGAGACACGGUCCAGACUCCUACGGGAGGCAGCAGUAGGGAAUCUUCCGCAAUGGGCGAAAGCCUGACGGAGCCACGCCGCGUGAGUGAUGAAGGUCUUCGGAUCGUAAAACUCUGUUAUUAGGGAAGCGGUACCUAAUCAGAAAGCCCCGGCUAACUACGUGCCAGCAGCCGCGGUAAUAC